This 2904-nucleotide ribosomal RNA is filed under the name Enterobacter roggenkampii MGH 34. Its description in RNAcentral is "bacterial LSU rRNA". It matches the Rfam family "Bacterial large subunit ribosomal RNA". The record is from RNAcentral. Lineage: Bacteria; Pseudomonadati; Pseudomonadota; Gammaproteobacteria; Enterobacterales; Enterobacteriaceae.
UUAAGCGACUAAGCGUACACGGUGGAUGCCCUGGCAGUCAGAGGCGAUGAAGGACGUGCUAAUCUGCGAAAAGCGCCGGCGAGGUGAUAUGAACCUUUGACCCGGCGAUGUCCGAAUGGGGAAACCCAGUGUGAUUCGUCACACUAUCGUUAACUGAAUACAUAGGUUAACGAGGCGAACCGGGGGAACUGAAACAUCUAAGUACCCCGAGGAAAAGAAAUCAACCGAGAUUCCCCCAGUAGCGGCGAGCGAACGGGGAGCAGCCCAGAGUCUGAAUCAGCUUGUGUGUUAGUGGAAGCGUCUGGAAAGUCGCACGGUACAGGGUGACAGUCCCGUACACGAAAAUGCACAGGUUGUGAACUCGAAGAGUAGGGCGGGACACGUGGUAUCCUGUCUGAAUAUGGGGGGACCAUCCUCCAAGGCUAAAUACUCCUGACUGACCGAUAGUGAACCAGUACCGUGAGGGAAAGGCGAAAAGAACCCCGGCGAGGGGAGUGAAACAGAACCUGAAACCGUGUACGUACAAGCAGUGGGAGCACCUUCGUGGUGUGACUGCGUACCUUUUGUAUAAUGGGUCAGCGACUUAUAUUCUGUAGCAAGGUUAACCGUAUAGGGGAGCCGAAGGGAAACCGAGUCUUAACUGGGCGUUAAGUUGCAGGGUAUAGACCCGAAACCCGGUGAUCUAGCCAUGGGCAGGUUGAAGGUUGGGUAACACUAACUGGAGGACCGAACCGACUAAUGUUGAAAAAUUAGCGGAUGACUUGUGGCUGGGGGUGAAAGGCCAAUCAAACCGGGAGAUAGCUGGUUCUCCCCGAAAGCUAUUUAGGUAGCGCCUCGUGAACUCAUCUUCGGGGGUAGAGCACUGUUUCGGCUAGGGGGCCAUCCCGGCUUACCAACCCGAUGCAAACUACGAAUACCGAAGAAUGUUAUCACGGGAGACACACGGCGGGUGCUAACGUCCGUCGUGAAGAGGGAAACAACCCAGACCGCCAGCUAAGGUCCCAAAGUCAUGGUUAAGUGGGAAACGAUGUGGGAAGGCACAGACAGCCAGGAUGUUGGCUUAGAAGCAGCCAUCAUUUAAAGAAAGCGUAAUAGCUCACUGGUCGAGUCGGCCUGCGCGGAAGAUGUAACGGGGCUAAACCAUGCACCGAAGCUGCGGCAGCGACGCUUAUGCGUUGUUGGGUAGGGGAGCGUUCUGUAAGCCGUUGAAGGUGUGCUGUGAGGCAUGCUGGAGGUAUCAGAAGUGCGAAUGCUGACAUAAGUAACGAUAAAGCGGGUGAAAAGCCCGCUCGCCGGAAGACCAAGGGUUCCUGUCCAACGUUAAUCGGGGCAGGGUGAGUCGACCCCUAAGGCGAGGCCGAAAGGCGUAGUCGAUGGGAAACAGGUUAAUAUUCCUGUACUUGGUGUUACUGCGAAGGGGGGACGGAGAAGGCUAUGUUAGCCGGGCGACGGUUGUCCCGGUUUAAGCAUGUAGGCGGAACGAUUAGGUAAAUCCGGUCGUUUAUUAACGCUGAGGUGUGAUGACGAGGCACUACGGUGCUGAAGUAACAAAUGCCCUGCUUCCAGGAAAAGCCUCUAAGCAUCAGGUAACAUCAAAUCGUACCCCAAACCGACACAGGUGGUCAGGUAGAGAAUACCAAGGCGCUUGAGAGAACUCGGGUGAAGGAACUAGGCAAAAUGGUGCCGUAACUUCGGGAGAAGGCACGCUGAUAUGUAGGUGAAGCCCCUGCGGGUGGAGCUGAAAUCAGUCGAAGAUACCAGCUGGCUGCAACUGUUUAUUAAAAACACAGCACUGUGCAAACACGAAAGUGGACGUAUACGGUGUGACGCCUGCCCGGUGCCGGAAGGUUAAUUGAUGGGGUUAGCGGCAACGCGAAGCUCUUGAUCGAAGCCCCGGUAAACGGCGGCCGUAACUAUAACGGUCCUAAGGUAGCGAAAUUCCUUGUCGGGUAAGUUCCGACCUGCACGAAUGGCGUAAUGAUGGCCAGGCUGUCUCCACCCGAGACUCAGUGAAAUUGAACUCGCUGUGAAGAUGCAGUGUACCCGCGGCAAGACGGAAAGACCCCGUGAACCUUUACUAUAGCUUGACACUGAACACUGGUCCUUGAUGUGUAGGAUAGGUGGGAGGCUUUGAAGUGUGGACGCCAGUCUGCAUGGAGCCGUCCUUGAAAUACCACCCUUUAAUGGCUGGUGUUCUAACGUAGACCCGUAAUCCGGGUUGCGGACAGUGUCUGGUGGGUAGUUUGACUGGGGCGGUCUCCUCCCAAAGAGUAACGGAGGAGCACGAAGGUUAGCUAAUCCUGGUCGGACAUCAGGAGGUUAGUGCAAUGGCAUAAGCUAGCUUGACUGCGAGAGUGACGGCUCGAGCAGGUGCGAAAGCAGGUCAUAGUGAUCCGGUGGUUCUGAAUGGAAGGGCCAUCGCUCAACGGAUAAAAGGUACUCCGGGGAUAACAGGCUGAUACCGCCCAAGAGUUCAUAUCGACGGCGGUGUUUGGCACCUCGAUGUCGGCUCAUCACAUCCUGGGGCUGAAGUAGGUCCCAAGGGUAUGGCUGUUCGCCAUUUAAAGUGGUACGCGAGCUGGGUUUAGAACGUCGUGAGACAGUUCGGUCCCUAUCUGCCGUGGGCGCUGGAGAAUUGAGGGGGGCUGCUCCUAGUACGAGAGGACCGGAGUGGACGCAUCACUGGUGUUCGGGUUGUCAUGCCAAUGGCACUGCCCGGUAGCUAAAUGCGGAAAAGAUAAGUGCUGAAAGCAUCUAAGCACGAAACUUGCCCCGAGAUGAGUUCUCCCUGAGACUUUAAGUCUCCUGAAGGAACGUUGAAGACGACGACGUUGAUAGGUCGGGUGUGUAAGCGCAGCGAUGCGUUGAGCUAACCGAUACUAAUGAACCGUGAGGCUUAACCUU